GGUCAAGAUACGAAGGGCAUACGGUGGAUGCCUUGGCGCUUUGGGCCGAUGAAGGACGUGGUAAGCUGCGAAAAGCCACGG
This 81-nucleotide ribosomal RNA is filed under the name Desulfofundulus thermobenzoicus. RNAcentral describes it as "Desulfotomaculum thermobenzoicum Bacterial large subunit ribosomal RNA". It matches the Rfam family "Bacterial large subunit ribosomal RNA", at positions 1 to 81 of the family's 2925-position model. The record is from Rfam by way of RNAcentral. Lineage: Bacteria; Bacillati; Bacillota; Clostridia; Eubacteriales; Peptococcaceae.